This 468-nucleotide ribosomal RNA is filed under the name uncultured bacterium. RNAcentral describes it as "partial 16S ribosomal RNA". It matches the Rfam family "Bacterial small subunit ribosomal RNA", at positions 28 to 507 of the family's 1533-position model. The record is from RNAcentral.
GACGAACGCUGGCGGCGUGCUUAACACAUGCAAGUCGAACGGAAAGGCCGGGCUUUUGGGGGGUCGUCUGGGGGACAAGGGGUGAGUAGCACUUGGGUACCGUGCCCUUGAGUGUGGGUUGACUUCAGGAAAGUGGGGGUAAUAGCGGAUAGGAGCUCUUGCUGCAUGGUGGGGGUUGGUAAGUUUCGGCGGUUGGGGAUGGAAUCGCGGCUUAUCAGCUUGUUGGAGGGGUAGUGGCUUACCAAGGCUUUGACGGGUAGCAGGCCUGAGAGGGUGACCGGCCACAUUGGGACUGAGAUACGGCCCAGACUCCUACGGGAGGCAGCAGUGGGGAAUAUUGCACAAUGGGCGGAAGCCUGAUGCAGCAACGCCGCGUGCGGGAUGACGGCCUUCGGGUUGUAAACCGCUUUCGCCUGUGACGAAGCGUGAGUGACGGUAAUGGGUAAAGAAGCACCGGCUAACUACGUG